RNAcentral lists this ribosomal RNA (253 nucleotides) under uncultured bacterium. Its description in RNAcentral is "partial 16S ribosomal RNA". It matches the Rfam family "Bacterial small subunit ribosomal RNA", at positions 524 to 776 of the family's 1533-position model. The record is from RNAcentral.
UACGUAGGGUGCGAGCGUUGUCCGGAAUUAUUGGGCGUAAAGAGCUCGUAGGCGGUGUGUCACGUCGAUCGUGAAAACUCACAGCUCAACUGUGGGCGUGCGGGCGAUACGGGCAGACUAGAGUACUGCAGGGGAGACUGGAAUUCCUGGUGUAGCGGUGGAAUGCGCAGAUAUCAGGAGGAACACCGGUGGCGAAGGCGGGUCUCUGGGCAGUAACUGACGCUGAGGAGCGAAAGCGUGGGGAGCGAACAGG